GAGAAAGAAGCGGCCAUGCUUAAGGAGAGAAGGUGGCCACAUGGCAGAGUGCAAGACAGCAUGAAAUAGAUGAGCUCACCAAAAGAUCGUCAGGGACCAGACCAGCAUGUGCCUGAUGCAUGGAUAAACAGAUACAACAUUUACUGCAAUUGCCAAAGAAGCUGCCCAUCACUGUCACGCCAGCUGCACAGUCUUCACUGAGGGAGCUUCCAAGUGCCAUUUUAUUAAUGUGGAGAGAAGAAUAACAGAUCAUAAAUGUUUGAGGUCUAUCCAGCCGGAGUACAGGGGAUUAUCUAUUAUCCUGUGAGCUCGUGUUUUAUUCAUCUUCGUGUUCCCGUGAAUUAUACAGUGCAAAAACUGCUUAGAAGGCUUCCCCUCCUAGACAGCCCAACAGCACCUCAACCUCAGCCGGAAUGAAACUGAAUGUGUUACUGCGCACCCAAACAGAGCUUCUCUUCCUGCUUUCUCUCUCCUGGUAAAUGUGGCACUGCCAUUCCAAAUCUGGCAUGCAUCCUAAGAUCCUUUCUCUCCCUUAUCCCCAUCUCCCAUUCAACUGGUUUCUAUAUAAUGCUACCUCUCCUAAUGUCUCUCACACCUAUAUCCUCUUCACUUUCUGUGGGGUUUGACCAGAAGCUCCUAAUCAAAUCUUGUCCGCAAACCUACCCUUUUUUGGUCUACCUUCAACAUUCCUAUCAGAGGCAUCAUUAUAAAACAAAAACAUGAUUAUGUCACUGACCUGCUUAAAACCCUUCUUUGGCCCACCAUUGCCUAGAGUUCUCUUGAGUUCAAGCUCAGCAUCAUCCCAAACCUGCAAAGCCCCACCAUGAACUGGCCUCUCAUCUCCAGCCAGUCAUCUCCAAGCAUGGAAGCUGUAGUCAAAUGACCUGCCAAGCAUGCGCACUGAGUCUAGGAGACUUCACUUUCACCCUGCACUUUGGUCCCACCCACACUCAUUAUCUUCCUGGAGAUCUCCAAAUCAUCCCACCUCUACCAUCCCCUCUUCUAAGAAAGCUUCUCUCACACAGUCACCAUCCUUUGCCAGGGCCCCAGGGCAGAAGUCAUCUGUCCCUCUUUUUAUGAAACUAUUCUAUCUUUGUUUACCACCAUAAGAAUUCUUGACCAGGCGCAGUGGCUCACACCUGUAAUCCCAGCA
RNAcentral lists this long non-coding RNA (1153 nucleotides) under Homo sapiens (human). Its description in RNAcentral is "HSALNT0337975". Lineage: Eukaryota; Metazoa; Chordata; Mammalia; Primates; Hominidae. The record is from RNAcentral.